Molecule: ribosomal RNA, 484 nt
Filed under: uncultured bacterium
Lineage: Bacteria
Description: partial 16S ribosomal RNA
Rfam family: Bacterial small subunit ribosomal RNA
Source: RNAcentral
AUUGAACGCUGGCGGCAGGCCUAACACAUGCAAGUCGAGCGGAUGAAGGGAGCUUGCUCCUGGAUUCAGCGGCGGACGGGUGAGUAAUGCCUAGGAAUCUGCCUGGUAGUGGGGGAUAACGUCCGGAAACGGGCGCUAAUACCGCAUACGUCCUGAGGGAGAAAGUGGGGGAUCUUCGGACCUCACGCUAUCAGAUGAGCCUAGGUCGGAUUAGCUAGUUGGUGGGGUAAAGGCCUACCAAGGCGACGAUCCGUAACUGGUCUGAGAGGAUGAUCAGUCACACUGGAACUGAGACACGGUCCAGACCCCUAAGGGAGGCAGCAGUGGGGAAUAUUGGACAAUGGGCGAAAGCCUGAUCCAGCCAUGCCGCGUGUGUGAAGAAGGUCUUCGGAUUGUAAAGCACUUUAAGUUGGGAGGAAGGGCAGUAAGUUAAUACCUUGCUGUUUUGACGUUACCAACAGAAUAAGCACCGGCUAACUUCGUG